RNAcentral lists this signal recognition particle RNA (266 nucleotides) under Desulfotomaculum sp. RNAcentral describes it as "signal recognition particle sRNA large type". It matches the Rfam family "Bacterial large signal recognition particle RNA". Rfam says of the family: The signal recognition particle (SRP) is a universally conserved ribonucleoprotein involved in the co-translational targeting of proteins to membranes. Archaeal SRP consists of a 7S RNA and homologues of the eukaryotic SRP19 and SRP54 proteins. In most bacteria, the SRP consists of a 4.5S RNA and the Ffh protein (a homologue of the eukaryotic SRP54 protein). The record is from RNAcentral. Lineage: Bacteria; Bacillati; Bacillota; Clostridia; Eubacteriales; Desulfotomaculaceae.
CCGUGCUAGAUGGGGAGGUAGCGGUGCCCUGUACCCGCAACCCGCUAUAGCGGGGUUGAACUCCUGCCUAAGGGUUUGGCUUGUGGGGUCCGGCUUGUUACAAGGGGCGACGACGGUUGGGUCUUGCGCGGCGGAGACUUUUGAACCGUGUCAGGUCCUGGCGGAAGCAGCACUAAGAAAGAACCUCCGGGUGCCGCAAGGACGCCUGGCCCGAGCUACCUGUGCAGGUAUCGCCCGGAAGUCAUUAUUCGAAGGCGGGUGCACGG